Molecule: transfer RNA, 69 nt
Filed under: Trogon melanurus (black-tailed trogon)
Lineage: Eukaryota; Metazoa; Chordata; Aves; Trogoniformes; Trogonidae
Also listed under: 1 other name
Rfam family: tRNA
About the family: Transfer RNA (tRNA) molecules are approximately 80 nucleotides in length. Their secondary structure includes four short double-helical elements and three loops (D, anti-codon, and T loops). Further hydrogen bonds mediate the characteristic L-shaped molecular structure. tRNAs have two regions of fundamental functional importance: the anti-codon, which is responsible for specific mRNA codon recognition, and the 3' end, to which the tRNAs corresponding amino acid is attached (by aminoacyl-tRNA synthetases). tRNAs cope with the degeneracy of the genetic code in two manners: having more than one tRNA (with a specific anti-codon) for a particular amino acid; and 'wobble' base-pairing, i.e. permitting non-standard base-pairing at the 3rd anti-codon position.
Source: Rfam by way of RNAcentral
AAGGCUCUAGCUUAAUUAAAGCAUCUGGGUUGCAUUCAGGAGAUGCAGGGUAACAUCCUGCGAGUCUUA